GAUGAACGCUGGCGGCGUGCCUAACACAUGCAAGUCGAGCGAUUCUCUUCGGAGAAGAGCGGCGGACGGGUGAGUAACGCGUGGGUAACCUGCCCUGUACACACGGAUAACAUACCGAAAGGUAUGCUAAUACGAGAUAAUAUGCUUUUGUCGCAUGGUAGAAGUAUCAAAGCUCCGGCGGUACAGGAUGGACCCGCGUCUGAUUAGCUAGUUGGUAAGGUAACGGCUUACCAAGGCGACGAUCAGUAGCCGACCUGAGAGGGUGAUCGGCCACGUUGGAACUGAGACACGGUCCAAACUCCUACGGGAGGCAGCAGUGGGGAAUAUUGCGCAAUGGGCGAAAGCCUGAUGCAGCAACGCCGCGUGAGCGAUGAAGGCCUUCGGGUCGUAAAGCUCUGUCCUCAAGGAAGAUAAUGACGGUACUUGAGGAGGAAGCCCCGGCUAACUACGUGCCAGCCGCCGCCGUAA
RNAcentral lists this ribosomal RNA (468 nucleotides) under uncultured bacterium. RNAcentral describes it as "partial 16S ribosomal RNA". It matches the Rfam family "Bacterial small subunit ribosomal RNA", at positions 28 to 523 of the family's 1533-position model. The record is from RNAcentral.